CUUUCUCUCUUCCUUGUCUACUCCUGCAUCUCAAGAAGCUAACACUACCAUGGUUGUCCGUUUCUUUUUGUUGUGGGUGAUUGAAAUCUACCUUCGUUAUCUCCUAUAUUCUUUCUCAGCUUACAUAAAGGUAUCUUCCGGUGGAUGCAGUGGAUUCCAAGAUGAUUUUGACAGAGGUACCAAGUCUUGAGUGCUUUGGAAGAAAUUCUUUGAAGUACCAUAAUAUUGGCAAAAAUAUUUACCAAAAGGAAAAAGCUCGGAAGGUGGAUUAUUUUUCUCCGAAGAGCGGAUAAAAGAAUGUGGUCUAUCUAUUAUCAUAGCAGAUCAGGUUUUGAUGUUUUGACAUGUGGAUGGGAGAAAGUUCUGGACGCUUAUGGCAUGAAUGCGGGAAAUGGUUGUAUUUUUCAACUUGUCCAUCACCGGGGACAUACAUUUGGUGUAUGAAAAAUCUAAAAUGCUAGAAGUACGAUGCCGAAAGAACUAGUUGUAUGCCAGUUUCUCAUUAAUGAUUUUUUUAAAUUGUUG
This is a long non-coding RNA of Solanum tuberosum (potato), 525 nucleotides long. RefSeq lists it as uncharacterized. The record is from RefSeq and is a predicted model, not a curated record. The transcript has 3 exons. Lineage: Eukaryota; Viridiplantae; Streptophyta; Magnoliopsida; Solanales; Solanaceae.